Molecule: long non-coding RNA, 950 nt
Organism: Mercenaria mercenaria
Lineage: Eukaryota; Metazoa; Mollusca; Bivalvia; Venerida; Veneridae
Exons: 5
Source: RefSeq, a predicted model, not a curated record
GAAACUCUUGAUCUCCUUGAAGAGUUUGGCGUAAAGGUAAAUAAAAACAUGUUGUGACGUAAUGCGGAAGUGAUAUCGGUUGCUUGAAAAAUGGAUUUUUGUCAAAUUACAGUGAACAGGUUAUUGUGAGAUAGUCUGAUUACUUCGGAGCUGCCAGAUUGUGUAUGAAAUCCUGAAAAAAGUAUUUCAACAACUUUUUCAUGAACCACAGAAACUUCACCUUACCAAAUUGUAGGACCAGACAUUGUGAGAAAGUUUGAUUGCAUUCAAGAGCUGCCAGAGCUAAAGCUAGAAAAGAAACUAAACAACUUCUUCUCAUGAUCUGCUUAAUUGAUCUUCACAUUGAAUUGUCAACCUGUAUGCUACAUUGUAUAAUGACGUUGAGCAAAUAAAGAUACUGCAGUCAGCGUUACAACCUUCAUUAAACAGAAUGAAUUGGUGUUACAGAAAUGGAUAACAUAUGGAGACAAACACUUUCAGACUACUGAAACUACACAUUGUUUGAGACUAUGAGAAUGGCUUAUUUUCAUGAUGGAACUCAUAUCACAAAGAAAGAACUUGCUUUAUCUUAUUUCUUAUAACUAGUCCUCAAAGACAUACCCAAGUAAACUACAUCAGGAAAGAAAGCAAAGAAAGUUGAUUCAGGAUUUAGAAUUGAAUGUUUUUGUGUCAACAGUGUGUGAAAACUGCGAAAAAUAGGAUUUUAAUUUCAAGGAUUUGAUUUAGUAUGUGAAGGAGUGAUUUGUUUUUAAUUCAUCACACAAGUUAUUGACAAUGCUCUAAAAUAUAAAUAGGAUGUGUAAAUACAGACUUUCAUACCUAACUAAAAUAAUGUUGAACUCAACAGAAUAAACAAACUAGCAUCUGUUGUAUAAUAUAUUAGUUGUUUUAUCAAACUUUGUCAGUUUUGUUACAUUACUUAUCAUUGAUAGAAUAUAUUAUCUAAUAAC